UACAGAGGUCUCAAGCGUUGUUCGGAUUCAUUGGGCGUAAAGGGUGCGUAGGUGGCGCGCUAAGUCAGGUGUGAAAUUUCGGAGCUUAACUCCGAAACUGCAUUUGAUACUGGCGUGCUUGAGGACUGGAGAGGAGACUGGAAUUCACGGUGUAGCAGUGAAAUGCGUAGAGAUCGUGAGGAAGACCAGUGGCGAAGGCGGGUCUCUGGACAGUUCCUGACACUGAGGCACGAAGGCCAGGGGAGGCAAACGGG
Molecule: ribosomal RNA, 254 nt
Filed under: uncultured bacterium
Lineage: Bacteria
Description: partial 16S ribosomal RNA
Rfam family: Bacterial small subunit ribosomal RNA
Source: RNAcentral